Long non-coding RNA from Sander lucioperca (pikeperch), 88 nucleotides. RefSeq lists it as uncharacterized. The record is from RefSeq and is a predicted model, not a curated record. Lineage: Eukaryota; Metazoa; Chordata; Actinopteri; Perciformes; Percidae. The transcript is spliced from 3 exons.
UGCCUUUUGUCUCAUACCAUAAUUCCUCAAAUAAAAACCGGGGCCUUUAUUUACCUGAACUGCAGAAGGUACCAGGCUUUUAUUUGAA